UGGGGAAUAUUGCACAAUGGGGGAAACCCUGAUGCAGCGACGCCGCGUGAACGAAGAAGGUAUUCGCAUCGUAAAGUUCUGUCCUAUGGGAAGAUAAUGACAGUACCAUAGAAGAAAGCUCCGGCUAAAUACGUGCCAGCAGCCGCGGUAAUACGUAUGGAGCGAGCGUUGUCCGGAAUUAUUGGGCGUAAAGGGUACGCAGGCGGUUUAAUAAGUCGAAUGUUAAAGAUCGGGGCUCAACCCCGCAAAGCAUUGGAAACUGAUAAACUUGAGUAGUGGAGAGGAAAGUGGAAUUCCUAGUGUAGUGGUGAAAUACGUAGAUAUUAGGAGGAAUACCAGUAGCGAAGGCGACUUUCUGGACACAAACUGACGCUGAGGUACGAAAGCGUGGGGAGCAAACAGG
This 403-nucleotide ribosomal RNA is filed under the name bacterium. RNAcentral's name for it is "partial 16S ribosomal RNA". It matches the Rfam family "Bacterial small subunit ribosomal RNA", at positions 355 to 776 of the family's 1533-position model. The record is from RNAcentral.